Suncus etruscus (white-toothed pygmy shrew) is the source of this 122-nucleotide small nucleolar RNA. RefSeq annotates it as small nucleolar RNA SNORA1. The transcript has a single exon. The record is from RefSeq and is a predicted model, not a curated record. NCBI's taxonomy places the organism in Eukaryota, Metazoa, Chordata, Mammalia, Eulipotyphla, Soricidae.
UGCCUCAUUCUCAGUAGCUGCUACAGCUACCCAGACAAGGUAAUGUGGCCACAUUGACCCACGGGUCAUGCUUCCAUCACAGUAGGCAUGUAGCUGUGGUGACAAUGGGACCUGUGACAUGU